GAUGAACGCUGGCGGCGUGCCUAAUACAUGCCAGUCGAGCGAACAGACGAGGAGCUUGCUCCUCUGACGUUAGCGGCGGACGGGUGAGUAACACGUGGAUAACCUACCUAUAAGACUGGGAUAACUUCGGGAAACCGGAGCUAAUACCGGAUAAUAUAUUGAACCGCAUGGUUCAAUAGUGAAAGACGGUUUUGCUGUCACUUAUAGAUGGAUCCGCGCCGCAUUAGCUAGUUGGUAAGGUAACGGCUUACCAAGGCAACGAUGCGUAGCCGACCUGAGAGGGUGAUCGGCCACACUGGAGCUGAGACACGGUCCAGACUCCUACGGGAGGCAGCAGUAGGGAAUCUUCCGCAAUGGGCGAAAGCCUGACGGAGCAACGCCGCGUGAGUGAUGAAGGUCUUCGGAUCGUAAAACUCUGUUAUUAGGGAAGAACAAAUGUGUAAGUAACUAUGCACGUCUUGACGGUACCUAAUCAGAAAGCCACGGCUAACUACGUG
This 497-nucleotide ribosomal RNA is filed under the name uncultured bacterium. Its description in RNAcentral is "partial 16S ribosomal RNA". It matches the Rfam family "Bacterial small subunit ribosomal RNA", at positions 28 to 507 of the family's 1533-position model. The record is from RNAcentral.